This 253-nucleotide ribosomal RNA is filed under the name uncultured bacterium. Its description in RNAcentral is "partial 16S ribosomal RNA". It matches the Rfam family "Bacterial small subunit ribosomal RNA", at positions 524 to 776 of the family's 1533-position model. The record is from RNAcentral.
UACGUAGGGAGCAAGCGUUGUUCGGAUUUACUGGGCGUAAAGGGCGCGUAGGCGGCAAUUCAAGUCAUCUGUGAAAUCUCCGGGCUUAACUCGGAACGGUCAGAUGAUACUGUCUUGCUAGAGUGCAGAAGGGGCAAUCGGAAUUCUUGGUGUAGCGGUGAAAUGCGUAGAUAUCAGGAGGAAUACCAGUGGCGAAGGCGGCUUUCUGGGCCUACCCUGACGCUGAGGAGCGAAAGCGUGGGGAGCAAACCGG